CCUACGGUAGGCAGCAGUCGAGAAUCAUUCACAAUGGGGGAAACCCUGCUGGUGCGACGCCGCGUGGGGGAAUGAAGGUCUUCGGGUUGUAAACCCCUGUCAUGUGGGAGCAAAUUAAAAAGAUAGUACCACAAGAGGAAGAGACGGCUAACUCUGUGCCAGCAGCCGCGGUAAUACAGAGGUCUCAAGCGUUGUUGGGAUUCACUGGGCGUAAAGCGUGCGUAGGCUGUUUCGUAAGUCGUGGGUGAAAGGCGCGGGCGCAACCCGCGGACGGCACAUGAUACUGCGAGACUAGAGGAAUGGAGGGGGAACCGGAAUUCGCGGUGUAGGAGUGAAAUGCGUAGAUAUCGAGAGGAA
Molecule: ribosomal RNA, 357 nt
Filed under: uncultured bacterium
Lineage: Bacteria
Description: partial 16S ribosomal RNA
Rfam family: Bacterial small subunit ribosomal RNA
Source: RNAcentral